This is a non-coding RNA of Flavobacterium sp. LM5, 78 nucleotides long. The record is from Rfam. Lineage: Bacteria; Pseudomonadati; Bacteroidota; Flavobacteriia; Flavobacteriales; Flavobacteriaceae.
UUUUAGCCCAGAUGGGAACGGCAUCCUUUUCUAUUUUUCUUUAAAAUAGAAAAGAUACAGUGGACAGCUGGAAAUAGC